UUGAACUGAAGAGUUUGAUCCUGGCUCAGAUUGAACGCUGGCGGCAUGCCUUACACAUGCAAGUCGAACGGCAGCACGGGUGCUUGCACCUGGUGGCGAGUGGCGAACGGGUGAGUAAUACAUCGGAACAUGUCCUGUAGUGGGGGAUAGCCCGGCGAAAGCCGGAUUAAUACCGCAUACGAUCCACGGAUGAAAGCGGGGGACCUUCGGGCCUCGCGCUAUAGGGUUGGCCGAUGGCUGAUUAGCUAGUUGGUGGGGUAAAGGCCUACCAAGGCGACGAUCAGUAGCUGGUCUGAGAGGACGACCAGCCACACUGGGACUGAGACACGGCCCAGACUCCUACGGGAGGCAGCAGUGGGGAAUUUUGGACAAUGGGCGAAAGCCUGAUCCAGCAAUGCCGCGUGUGUGAAGAAGGCCUUCGGGUUGUAAAGCACUUUUGUCCGGAAAGAAAUCCUUGGCUCUAAUACAGUCGGGGGAUGACGGUACCGGAAGAAUAAGCACCGGCUAACUACGUGCCAGCAGCCGCGGUAAUACGUAGGGUGCAAGCGUUAAUCGGAAUUACUGGGCGUAAAGCGUGCGCAGGCGGUUUGCUAAGACCGAUGUGAA
Molecule: ribosomal RNA, 606 nt
Filed under: Burkholderia cenocepacia
Lineage: Bacteria; Pseudomonadati; Pseudomonadota; Betaproteobacteria; Burkholderiales; Burkholderiaceae
Description: bacterial SSU rRNA
Rfam family: Bacterial small subunit ribosomal RNA
Source: RNAcentral